Long non-coding RNA from Ipomoea nil (Japanese morning glory), 402 nucleotides. RefSeq lists it as uncharacterized. NCBI's taxonomy places the organism in Eukaryota, Viridiplantae, Streptophyta, Magnoliopsida, Solanales, Convolvulaceae. The record is from RefSeq and is a predicted model, not a curated record. The transcript is spliced from 3 exons.
AUGACUUAAGUGGUUACUGUAGUGCUGUUUUGCCUAAAUAUGUUGUAGGACUGUGCAGAUUCUCUGUGAUGAUUGUUUUGGUACUACAACUGAUGCUGAUAGUCUUGUUUAUUUGUUUCUUUGUUAUAAGUUGUGCAGAGCAGGGAAAGAAUUUGGAUGAGUUUUUUUUCAGUCAAUAGCAGAUGAGGGCACAAAUUCUUGAGAUUAAACUGGAGCUAACCGGGAGAUUGACUAAAUGAUGAAAAACAAGUUCCUUUUGAUGAAGAUUAAGUACUUUAUAUUUUUAUGACUUUUUUGUAUGUAUAGCAAUAGUUUAUUGCUUAAAUAUUUAUGGAUUGGACACAAUACUAUGUUUUUAUUGAAAAUAAUUUUGAUAUUUAAAUAUAUUUUCAAUUUGAGUUU